CUGCAUUGCUGUUUUUCACACCCUUUGUGUCUCACACCCCUGUGACUGAAGGAUUACCUGCUCAGCACUCCAUCUAGCUGCUAUCACUCUGCUACUCAGCCUCUGUGCCUCAUCUGCUUCUAUCAAGCUAUAUCCUGUGGCUGGGUCAGUCAGGUCAGUGCUGCUGCCUGUUUGUUAUUGUGACCUGCACUUAAGGGUCCCAACCCUGUGCAACCGGGGUGAGCCCCCACUAUAAAUACGC
Molecule: non-coding RNA, 241 nt
Organism: Pelobates cultripes (western spadefoot toad)
Lineage: Eukaryota; Metazoa; Chordata; Amphibia; Anura; Pelobatidae
Source: the annotation of a GenBank genome assembly